This 376-nucleotide microRNA precursor is filed under the name Oryza sativa (Asian cultivated rice). RNAcentral describes it as "miR5149 stem-loop (osa-MIR5149)". Lineage: Eukaryota; Viridiplantae; Streptophyta; Magnoliopsida; Poales; Poaceae. The record is from miRBase by way of RNAcentral.
CAUAUAGGUCCCAAAUCGCAACAACUCCUCCAAAAUCCUACGUGGCGCUGAUGUGGCGUGCCACACGAACGUGACGUGGCAUUUAAAAAUUUUCCUUUUCCUUUUUUUUCUUUUCUUCUUCUCUUUUUUUUUCUUUUAUUCUCUUCUCUUUUCUCUGUGACCUGAGCAACCCGUGUAGCGGUGGCCUAUAGCUGCAGUGAGAGCAAGAAAAGGAGAAGAAAGGAAAAAAAAGAGAAUAAAAAAGGGAAAUGAAAAUUUUUUAAGUGGGUCUCAUUUGUCAUUCAAUAUUAUGCCAUGUCAUGUCUGUGUGUCAUUGCCACAUCAGUGCCAUGUAAGAUCCUGGAGGAGCUGUGACGAUUUGGGACCUACAUGACAC